Molecule: ribosomal RNA, 1363 nt
Filed under: metagenome
Description: bacterial LSU rRNA
Rfam family: Bacterial large subunit ribosomal RNA
Source: RNAcentral
AAAUGCGGGAAAUCGGUGAUCCUAUGCUGCCAAGAAAAGCCUCGACGCGAGGUUCUAGCCGCCCGUACCCCAAACCGACUCAGGUGGUCAGGUAGAGAAUACCAAGGCGAUCGAGAGAAUCGUGGUUAAGGAACUCGGCAAAAUGCCCCCGUAACUUCGGGAGAAGGGGGGCCUGAAGCGUGAACCGACUUGCUCGGGGAGCGUGAAGGGCCGCAGAGACCAGGGAGAAGCGACUGUUUACUAAAAACACAGGUCCGUGCGAAGUCGCAAGACGAUGUAUACGGACUGACGCCUGCCCGGUGCUGGAAGGUUAAGAGGACGGGUCAGCCGCAAGGCGAAGCUCAGAAUUUAAGCCCCAGUAAACGGCGGUGGUAACUAUAACCAUCCUAAGGUAGCGAAAUUCCUUGUCGGGUAAGUUCCGACCUGCACGAAUGGCGUAACGACUUCUCCGCUGUCUCAACCGCGAACUCGGCGAAAUUGCACUACGAGUAAAGAUGCUCGUUACGCGCAGCAGGACGGAAAGACCCCGGGACCUUUACUAUAGUUUGGUAUUGGUGUUCGGUGCGGCUUGUGUAGGAUAGGUGGGAGACUGUGAAGCCGGCACGCCAGUGUCGGUGGAGUCAACGUUGAAAUACCACUCUGGUCGCUCUGGAUAUCUAACCUCGGUCCGUGAUCCGGACUAGGGACAGUGCCUGAUGGGUAGUUUAACUGGGGCGGUUGCCUCCUAAAAUGUAACGGAGGCGCUCAAAGGUUCCCUCAGCCUGGUUGGCAAUCAGGUGGCGAGUGCAAGUGCACAAGGGAGCUUGACUGUGAGACUGACAGGUCGAGCAGGGACGAAAGUCGGAACUAGUGAUCCGGCGGUGGCUUGUGGAAGCGCCGUCGCUCAACGGAUAAAGGUACCCCGGGGAUAACAGGCUGAUCUUGCCCAAGAGUCCAUAUCGACGGCAUGGUUUGGCACCUCGAUGUCGGCUCGUCGCAUCCUGGGGCUGGAGUAGGUCCCAAGGGUUGGGCUGUUCGCCCAUUAAAGCGGUACGCGAGCUGGGUUUAGAACGUCGUGAGACAGUUCGGUCCCUAUCCGCUGCGCGCGCAGGAAACUUGAGAAGGGCUGUCCCUAGUACGAGAGGACCGGGACGGACGAACCUCUGGUGUGCCAGUUGUUCCGCCAGGAGCACGGCUGGUUGGCUACGUUCGGAAGGGAUAACCGCUGAAAGCAUCUAAGCGGGAAGCCUGCUUCAAGAUGAGGUUUCCAUGGGGACUUGAUCCCCGAGAGGCUCCCAGCUAGACCACUGGGUAGAUAGGCCGGAUGUGGAAGAGGGGACGAAAGACCCUCGCAGCUGACCGGUACUAAUAAGCCGACAACUUC